This is a long non-coding RNA of Zonotrichia leucophrys gambelii, 1314 nucleotides long. RefSeq lists it as uncharacterized. The transcript is spliced from 3 exons. The record is from RefSeq and is a predicted model, not a curated record. NCBI's taxonomy places the organism in Eukaryota, Metazoa, Chordata, Aves, Passeriformes, Passerellidae.
CAAUUUUGGAGUUGUGCCCUCCAGUGCAUCUGUAAAUAAUCUUGCUGAAUUGUAUGAGCAUGCAGUGUCGAGGAAUGUGGACUUGGGAGAGGAGGGACACAAAGCAAAUGUGAAGACUUUAAGUAUACAGUUGCAUAUGGACUCAGGAUCCCACUCAACUUCUUCAGGGCCUUAAGAAGAGGUCCGUGUCUACUUUCUUGUUACAAAGCAUGUGAAGAAAGGCACACAAUAGGCAUGAGAACAAUAAGAACAAAGUAGUAGACAAGAAGAGCUGGUUGGGAUGUGAAGGCUGAGGGCAGAUUUGUCUGCUGUGACCCUGAAAUGGUGAAGUUUGGGAUCCUGAGAGAGCCAGGGAAAUGACAGGAUCACAACCCUACACUUCAGAAGAACAGAUUUUGGACUGUUCAGAGAGUUACUUGGAAGACUAUCGUUGGGUUACUGCCCUAGUGAGCAGAGAAGAGGAGAGAAGAGGAAGAUCAGAGAGUCACUUAAUUUUCAAUGAUCACCUACUCCAAGUUCAAGAGCUGCUGAUCUGUUUUAGUAGGAGGUCAUGUAAAGGUGGCUGGACCUUCUCUGAUGAACAAGGAACUCCUGGCAAAACUGCAGUAUAAAAAAAAGGUGUACAAGAAGUGCAGGCAGGGACAAGGGCCCCAGGAUAAACCGAGAGAAUUUAUCUAAGUGUGCAGGGCUGGUCUUAGGAAAGUCAAUUUAGAGUUUAAUCUCACAAGGCACAUGAUGGGCAACAAAAAGGAUUUCUGCAGGCAUAGCACAGCAGCACAAGGAAACCCCAGAAAAUGCGGAGCACCUGCUGAAUUGGUCAGAGGACCCUGUGACAAUGAGCAUGAAAUAUCUUCUUUUCCUUGGUCUUUGCUAGUGUGAUUUACUUUCACUAACCCAGAUCUGGGGGAUCUGUGCCUGGCCUCAGUCAGCAGCUGGUAAGCAAUUACAUUGGAUUUGAUUUCCCAUUCCUCUGAUGCAAGCACAGAAUAGUCAGGGAUCUGUCCAGUGACAGGACAAGAGAUGAUGCACACAAACUGAAAUACAGCAAAUAUCAUUUAAGCUUAAGGGAAAAAGAUUUUAGAGUGCAUAUGGUCAGAGAGGAAAGUUAUGGAGUCUCAGUCAGUGGAGGUAUUCAAAACUUGACUGGACACAGUCCUCAUCAACCUGCUUUAGCUGAUCCUGAGGAGCUCCAGAGGUUCUUUCAAUCUCAAUUGUGACCUACAGGCUGUGCCUUACUGCUACAUACGCUCCUCUGUGUUCAUGGGUAAGGACCACAUCAGCUUACUUCUCAUGAGGAACAGCUCCUCAUGGUGA